This 3190-nucleotide long non-coding RNA is filed under the name Hordeum vulgare. RNAcentral describes it as "long non-coding RNA (HVUL_LNC021702)". Lineage: Eukaryota; Viridiplantae; Streptophyta; Magnoliopsida; Poales; Poaceae. The record is from RNAcentral.
CUAGGAGGUCUGUCCCAUCCCCCAAUCCGGCCGCCGCCAGCUACAGCUCCCUCCUCAGGAUCCUCCCUGUCUGGAUCCGCCGCCACAACUUCAUUCAACCAGCCAACGCGGGUUAGUUAGAUCCAGCAAUCCUGGCCGUGUGUGGUUAGAUCGGGCGAAUGGGAGGCCUCCUCGAUGCAGCGACCAACAUCCCCGUAAGGCCGAGCGCCUCGUUCCCCUCUUCUCUAGCCUCGAUCCAGGUUGGAUCGGAGUAGCAUCGGCGAGCGCCACCACCAGGUCACAACAGCCUUGAGCAUCUGCCCCUCUCCUUGCUUUCCAUCAUUCCUGUCUUUCUAACCUCCCUGCUCUCCCUUUCUUCUCUGUUGUUCAGGAACAACCAUGGCAUCCAUGAACUCCAUGUCUGCCCAAAUGGACUCGAGCAGCCGUCGUCCUUGCCGAAAGCUCCGCCUCACCUCGCCCCCGACCGGCUUUGUACGCCCCCGACCCAUCCCCGCCAUAUUCGCUGGUCGUGCCCUGUCGGACCUCCCUCGCAUGGAGUCGCCGUUGACUGCGCAUGUUUCCUCUGCAACGAGCAGGAACCGCUCUGUCAACGAGCAUCUCUCCAGACCUCUAUUGCGUGGGGCUUGCCCUGCUCCUGGGCCAGCUUGGCAUCCCGGACCAGCAGCGCCCUAGCCGAAGUCGGCCCAGCUCCAGCCAGCGGAGGCCUCGCAAGCCCCAUCGAGCCGGCCCAUGGCCACUUGGGUGAGCUCCAGCCCCACCUCUGUUUUAUUGCGCCCGAGGCACAGAAGAACUAUAUUGCGCCACUAGUUUCAGCCAAUAUUAGUUUUUUUCGAGUUCGGCGAUUUUAUCUACUACUAGGGAUUUCAAAAAGAUGUAUAUUUUAAAACGUUUGUAACUUUUAAUCCGUGUGUCGGAUUGCGACAAGUUAUAUAUGUAACUUGGCUAGAAUUUCACGUAGAUUAAUAUUUUCCCACUCUCAUGCAUAUUUAAAGCUGCUUAGCAUGCUGCCUGCAUUGGUUUGCGUGUUGGCGUGAUAGAAAACGGUUUAAUUCGUAGCGAGUUAAUCGUAGCUCCUUUGGAGAUGAGCUAUAUAUGUAAACCGACUAGAAUUAUGUGUCGUUUCACGUGAUCCACUUUGUUUUUCCAUUUAACAAAGUUGAUGUGUGGGGUCGUUUCAGAGAAGCUAUAUGACGUUUCCGGUCCCAUUUAAAAUGCCUAGAUAGGUAGUUUAAUUGUGCUUCACCCCUUGCCAUGUUUAGCAACAUUUAAUAUUAACGUGUACCUACACGGGAGUGAACUAAAUAAUUAAAUGCGUAGUUUCAUUUAUAUUGAGCUUAACUUAAUGCGUAGUGUUUGCGUGGUGUGAAUUGCCAUGUCGUGCUUUGCAUAAUUGAAACAAAUCAUGCAUCAUAUGUGUUGUGCAUCAUGUCAUGCAUGUGUUGUGGUGUUUAUCGUGUGUUGAUUCUUGUUUAUGGUUUGCUUCUUCUCGAUAGUGUUUCGAACCGCUUCAGAGUGUGAGGAUCCAUUCAACUAUGUCGGUUCGUCUGCUUCAUGGAGUCGUUCUUAUUCCAAGAGGUAUCACAAGAAAGAUGAUCAUUUCCCUAGAUACCAUUACUAUCAAUGCCAUGCUAGUUGUCUUGUUUCUUUCGUUCUGUAUCGCUGCCUACCACCUGUUUAAUAAGCCUCCCAACAUUGCCAUGAUAACCUUCAACCUUUCCACAACCUAGCAAACCACUGUGUGGGUCUUUUACCACUUGCUUAACCAUUUUAUAGCGUUGCUAGUUGCAGUUGCAGUUGCUUCCAUGUGAUUGUUAAUUAAUUUAAUGCACCUAUAUACUUGGUAAAAGGUCGAACGCUUGGCCUUCUAGCCUAGUGUUUUCUUCCACCUUUGCCGCCUUAGUUUCGUCUAACAGUGUUAUGUUCCAUAAAUGAGCGUUCCUAACAUGCUUGGGGUUGUUAUGGGGACCCCCUUGACUUUCGUUUUGGGAUAAAGAUGGUCUCGCAAGGCCCAACAUUGGAACUAUAUUUGCCCAACAUAAUAAUACUGAUAUUAAUCUGACGCAUAGGCGGUUAGCUCUAACCGAGGAGUAAUUCAACAUAAUACAGGGAGGGCCAGUGUUGAUGGUGCUGGUCCUAAAUAGAGAAGUGUGCGGGGCCAACCCAGGGCAACUCGAGAGAUUUCUAUCAGCCGCUGUACGUGUACCUCAUCCGUCGUGUCCUGAGAACGAGAUACGUUGCUCCUAUCGGGAUCAUCGACAAGCCGGGCGGCCUUGCUGGACUUGUUUUACCUUUCUCGAGCAUCUCGUGCGUGGGAUUCUGAGGAUACUUUGGGCUAUCUCAAGGUUGUGGUUUUCUAAUAGGAACCCGAGGAGAUGACGAGUUUUCCCUGAUUGAUGUCAUUCCGGCGCAGCGUGUGGUAGUUUGCUAUGGACUAGUUGGAGCACCAAUGCAGGGUUAAAUCUUUCGAAAAGACAUGCCCGCGAUUAUGUGGCAAAGUGGAGACUUUGUUUAAUAUCCGGUUCUAGACGACCUGAAGUAAACUUAAUUAAAACUUGCCAACCGUGUGCGUAACCGUGACUCUCUCUUUCGUGAGCUCUUUCUCCAAUUGAUGACACAGUGGGGUUAUGUAUGACGUAAGUAGGUGUUCAGGAUCAUUCAUUUGAUCAUUAUUAGUUCACGUUCGAUCAUGCAUAGAUCACCCCCUCUUAUUCUGGUACUCGUAAGUUAGCCACCUCAAAUAAAUGCUUGGUUGCUGCUGCAACCUUACCACUUAACCAUACCUCACCCAUUAAGCUUUGCUAGUCUUGAAACCUUUGGAAAUGAGAUUGCUAAGUCCCUGUGGCUCACAGAUUACUACAACACCAGUUGCAGGUAUAGGUAAAGUGAUAUUAAGACGUGAGCGCGAUGAUUGUUCAUUUGGAGUUUCUCCUUCUUCUUUGUCGAUCUAGGAUGGGUUCUAGGCCGGCAGCCUGGGAUUGCAAGGAUGGACGUCAUUCUUUUAUCAUUUGUUUUUGUCCGUAGUCAGACCCUUCUCUUCUUCAUGAUGACUGUAUCUUGUUGUAUUGAUGUGACUCCCAUGUAGCUUGUGGCGAGUGUAAGCCAAUUCCAUAUACUCAGGUUUUUAGUACAUGUACUUGUAACGAUAUCCAUUCUUGCAAAACAUCGAGAUGCGCUUCUAUCCCUGUCGAGG